CCACCGCCACGCCCGAUCCAAGCCGUGUCUGCGACCUGUAUACCACAGCUCCGCGCAACGCCGGGUCCUUAACCCACUGAGCCAGGCCAGGGGUGGAACCCCUGUCCUCAUGGAUACUAGUCGGAGUCGUUACUGCUGAACCACGGCAGGAACUCUUUCGAGACAAGAAAAAGUUAAACACAGAUGAUGAUGUUGUUGUUGUUGUUGUUUUCCCCCCUCUGCCCCUUUGGGCCUCCUGCCUCCCCUCUAGUGUGCACUGUGCAUCUACCUGAAGCAUGAACCUGUCUUCCGCACCGCACCGCACCCCCACCCCCACGCCCCGAGGCGGGAAUGAAUACUUGCUGGAUCCUCAAGAUCCACCGUUUUCUCCUUCUGGCGGCGGCCAUGUCACUCCUUAGAAGCCACCGUGUUGGCCGAGCCUCGGACUUGGUGACGUGCGACGAUGGAUCCGAUAUCGGCUUCUCCAAGACCAGUGAUUGCCACAGGGCGUUCGCGUCGUGGCGCAGCGGAAACGGAUCCGACUGGUACCCAUGGGGAUGCGGGUUCGAACGCCGGCCUCGCUCAGCGGGUCGGGGAUCCGGCGUUUCCGUGAGCUGUGGUGUAGGUAGCAGACGCGGCUCGGCUCCCACGCGGCUGUGGCUUAGGCCGACAGCUGUCGCUCCCCUUCGACCCCUAGCCUGGGACCUUCCAUAUGCCACUGGCGCCGCCCUAAAAAUAGAAAAAAGAAAAAGAAAAUUGCAGCAGACUCAUAGACUUUGCCAACAGACUUACCCCUUUGGUUACCAAAGGGGAAAGGUGGGAGUUUGGGGGAGGGGUGAGAUCAAUGGGGGGGUUGGGGAUUAACCCACACACACACGCGCUCCUAUGUUUAGAAGCGAGACCCGACAGGCACCUUCCCUGUGUGUGUCGCAUAGGGAACUCGACUCCACAUGCUGUAAUAACCUGUAUGGGAAAAGAAUCUGAAAAAGGAAUGGAUAGUGCAUAACUUGAUGGCUUUGCUGUACCCCUGAGCCAACAGGACAUUGUACAUCAACUGUACUUCGAUACAAAAUACAAAAUUAAAGAAAAUCAGCGACGGCAAUGGUGUAAUUCUAGAGGGGAGAGAGAAAGCAACACGAGGCAACCAUUUCCUGACUUGUGAGACGUUUCCAGACUAGUGGGACAGGCGGUCGGGAGGCUUUGGGCUAUGGUGAACAGGGCAUCGGCUGGUAACGGCACAUUGGCCUUGAUGAGCAACGUAAUCCUUGCCCGACCUGCGACUGAGCAUUCCUAGCCAAGUGGGACCGUGUGGUCAAGCAACGCACCCCUCCCACCCCCGGCCCCGCCAAGCCGCGGUGGACCUUAAGACCGAGAGGGAGGGGCUCGUAAACUCAAGAACGUCGCCCGCCAUCUCUGUAAGAAUCAAGUCCAGGAGUUCCCGUCGUGGCGCAGUGGCUAACCAAUCGGACGAGGAACCAUGAGGUC
RNAcentral lists this long non-coding RNA (1464 nucleotides) under Sus scrofa (pig). Its description in RNAcentral is "lncRNA (ENSSSCG00065007549.1)". Lineage: Eukaryota; Metazoa; Chordata; Mammalia; Artiodactyla; Suidae. The record is from RNAcentral.